AGAGUUUGAUUAUGGCUCAGGAUGAACGCUGGCGGCGUGCCUAAUGCAUGCAAGCCGAACGGCCUGAUUUAUCAGGCAGUGGCAGACGGGUGAGUAACGCGUAAGAACUUACCCUAAAGUGGGGGACAACCUCGAGAAAUCGGGGCUAAUACCGCAUACGCUCCGCAAGGAGGAAAGCUACGGCGCUUUAGGAUGGGCUUGCGCCCUAUCAGGUAGUUGGUGAGGUAAUGGCCCACCAAGCCUUAGACGGGUAGCUGGUCUGAGAGGAUAAUCAGCCACACUGGAAUUGAGAUACGGUCCAGACUCCUACGGGAGGCAGCAGCAGGGAAUAUUGCGCAAUGGGGUGAAAGCCUGACGCAGCAACGCCGCGUGGGGGAUGACGGCUUUCGAGUUGUAAACCCCUUUUCUUGGGGAAGAUAAUGACGGUACCCAAGGAAUAAGUCUCGGCUAACUACGUGCCAGCAGCCGC
Molecule: ribosomal RNA, 469 nt
Filed under: uncultured bacterium
Lineage: Bacteria
Description: bacterial SSU rRNA
Rfam family: Bacterial small subunit ribosomal RNA
Source: RNAcentral